Molecule: ribosomal RNA, 417 nt
Filed under: uncultured bacterium
Lineage: Bacteria
Description: partial 16S ribosomal RNA
Rfam family: Bacterial small subunit ribosomal RNA
Source: RNAcentral
UGGGGAAUUUUGGACAAUGGGCGAAAGCCUGAUCCAGCAAUGCCGCGUGUGUGAAGAAGGCCUUCGGGUUGUAAAGCACUUUUGUCCGGAAAGAAAUCCUCUGGGUUAAUACCUCGGGGGGAUGACGGUACCGGAAGAAUAAGCACCGGCUAACUACGUGCCAGCAGCCGCGGUAAUACGUAGGGUGCAAGCGUUAAUCGGAAUUACUGGGCGUAAAGCGUGCGCAGGCGGUUUUUGUAAGACGGAUGUGAAAUCCCCGGGCUUAACCUGGGAACUGCAUUCGUGACUGCAAGGCUAGAGUAUGGCAGAGGGGGGUAGAAUUCCACGUGUGAGCAGUGAAAUGCGUAGAGAUGUGGAGGAAUACCGAUGGCGAAGGCAGCCCCCUGGGCCAAUACUGACGCUCAUGCACGAAAGCGU